This 253-nucleotide ribosomal RNA is filed under the name uncultured bacterium. Its description in RNAcentral is "partial 16S ribosomal RNA". It matches the Rfam family "Bacterial small subunit ribosomal RNA", at positions 524 to 776 of the family's 1533-position model. The record is from RNAcentral.
UACGUAGGGUGCAAGCGUUGUCCGGAAUUACUGGGCGUAAAGAGCUCGUAGGUGGUUUGUCGCGUUGUUCGUGAAAUCUCACGGCUUAACUGUGAGCGUGCGGGCGAUACGGGCAGACUGGAGUACUGCAGGGGAGACUGGAAUUCCUGGUGUAGCGGUGGAAUGCGCAGAUAUCAGGAGGAACACCGGUGGCGAAGGCGGGUCUCUGGGCAGUAACUGACGCUGAGACGCGAAAGCGUGGGGAGCGAACAGG